GUCCUUUUGAUAAUAAUUUAAGGUCUGACCUGCCCACUGAUUAAUUGAAUGGCCGCGGUAUUUUGACCGUGCAAAGGUAGCAUAAUCAUUAGUUUUUUAAUUGAAAGCUGGAAUGAAUGGUUGAAUAAGAAAAUUUCUGUCUCAGUUUAAAUUAAUUAAAAUUUUAUUUUUAAGUUAAAAAGCUUAAAUGUUAUUUAAAGACGAGAAGACCCUAUAGAGUUUAAUAAAUUUAUUUUAUUAUUUUAAAAGAUUAUAUUUGUUAAUAUUUAAAAUUUAUUUAAUUGGGGUGAUUAAAAAAUUUGAUUAACUUUUUAAUUUAUUACAUUGAUUUAUGAAUUGUUGAUCCAUUAAUUAUGAUUAAAAGAAUAAAUUACCUUAGGGAUAACAGCGUAAUUUUUUUUUAGAGUUCUUAUUGAAAAAAAAGAUUGCGACCUCGAUGUUGGAUUAAAAUAAAUAUUUGGUGAAGAAGCUAAAUUAUUAAGUCUGUUCGACUUUUAAAAUUUUACA
RNAcentral lists this ribosomal RNA (507 nucleotides) under Stephostethus liratus. Its description in RNAcentral is "partial 16S ribosomal RNA". The stretch from base 381 to 507 matches the Rfam family "Archaeal large subunit ribosomal RNA", at positions 2542 to 2669 of the family's 2987-position model. The record is from RNAcentral. Lineage: Eukaryota; Metazoa; Arthropoda; Insecta; Coleoptera; Latridiidae.